CGGUUUGUCGCGUCUGCUGUGAAAUCCCGAGGCUCAACCUCGGGCCUGCAGUGGGUACGGGCAGACUAGAGUGCGGUAGGGGAGAUUGGAAUUCCUGGUGUAGCGGUGGAAUGCGCAGAUAUCAGGAGGAACACCGAUGGCGAAGGCAGAUCUCUGGGCCGUAACUGACGCUGAGGAGCGAAAGGGUGGGGAGCAAACAGGCUUAGAUACCCUGGUAGUCCACCCCGUAAACGUUGGGAACUAGUUGUGGGGUCCAUUCCACGGAUUCCGUGACGCAGCUAACGCAUUAAGUUCCCCGCCUGGGGAGUACGGCCGCAAGGCUAAAACUCAAAGGAAUUGACGGGGACCCGCACAAGCGGCGGAGCAUGCGGAUUAAUUCGAUGCAACGCGAAGAACCUUACCAAGGCUUGACAUAUACGAGAACGGGCCAGAAAUGGUCAACUCUUUGGACACUCGUAAACAGGUGGUGCAUGGUUGUCGUCAGCUCGUGUCGUGAGAUGUUGGGUUAAGUCCCGCAACGAGCGCAACCCUCGUUCUAUGUUGCCAGCACGUAAUGGUGGGAACUCAUGGGAUACUGCCGGGGUCAACUCGGAGGAAGGUGGGGAUGACGUCAAAUCAUCAUGCCCCUUAUGUCUUGGGCUUCACGCAUGCUACAAUGGCCGGUACAAAGGGCUGCAAUACCGUGAGGUGGAGCGAAUCCCAAAAAGCCGGUCCCAGUUCGGAUUGAGGUCUGCAACUCGAC
This 742-nucleotide ribosomal RNA is filed under the name uncultured bacterium. RNAcentral describes it as "bacterial SSU rRNA". It matches the Rfam family "Bacterial small subunit ribosomal RNA", at positions 576 to 1316 of the family's 1533-position model. The record is from RNAcentral.